UGCAGUCGAGCGGACAGAUGGGAGCUUGCUCCCUGAUGUUAGCGGCGGACGGGUGAGUAACACGUGGGUAACCUGCCUGUAAGACUGGGAUAACUCCGGGAAACCGGGGCUAAUACCGGAUGCUUGUUUGAACCGCAUGGUUCAAACAUAAAAGGUGGCUUCGGCUACCACUUACAGAUGGACCCGCGGCGCAUUAGCUAGUUGGUGAGGUAAUGGCUCACCAAGGCAACGAUGCGUAGCCGACCUGAGAGGGUGAUCGGCCACACUGGGACUGAGACACGGCCCAGACUCCUACGGGAGGCAGCAGUAGGGAAUCUUCCGCAAUGGACGAAAGUCUGACGGAGCAACGCCGCGUGAGUGAUGAAGGUUUUCGGAUCGUAAAGCUCUGUUGUUAGGGAAGAACAAGUACCGUUCGAAUAGGGCGGCACCUUGACGGUACCUAACCAGAAAGCCACGGCUAACUACGUGCCAGCAGCCGCGGUAAUACGUAGGUGGCAAGCGUUGUCCGGAAUUAUUGGGCGUAAAGGGCUCGCAGGCGGUUCCUUAAGUCUGAUGUGAAAGCCCCCGGCUCAACGGGGGAGGGUCAUUGGAAACUGGGGAACUUGAGUGCAGAAGAGGAGAGUGGAAUUCCACGUGUAGCGGUGAAAUGCGUAGAGAUGUGGAGGAACACCAGUGGCGAAGGCGACUC
Molecule: ribosomal RNA, 688 nt
Filed under: Bacillus subtilis
Lineage: Bacteria; Bacillati; Bacillota; Bacilli; Caryophanales; Bacillaceae
Description: bacterial SSU rRNA
Rfam family: Bacterial small subunit ribosomal RNA
Source: RNAcentral